GCUGGUGUGGCUCAGUGGAUAGAGCACCAGCCUGUGAACUGAAGGGUCCUGGUUCGAUUCCGGUCAAGGGCA
RNAcentral lists this transfer RNA (72 nucleotides) under Myotis lucifugus (little brown bat). It matches the Rfam family "tRNA". Rfam says of the family: Transfer RNA (tRNA) molecules are approximately 80 nucleotides in length. Their secondary structure includes four short double-helical elements and three loops (D, anti-codon, and T loops). Lineage: Eukaryota; Metazoa; Chordata; Mammalia; Chiroptera; Vespertilionidae. The record is from Rfam by way of RNAcentral.